This 1311-nucleotide long non-coding RNA is filed under the name Pan troglodytes (chimpanzee). RNAcentral's name for it is "long non-coding RNA NONPTRT018273". The record is from RNAcentral. Lineage: Eukaryota; Metazoa; Chordata; Mammalia; Primates; Hominidae.
GCGGGUUAUGCAACAUGACCAAGUGACAUGUAUUCUAGGAAUGCAAGAUUGGCUUAACAUUCAAAUUUCAGUCAAGGUAAUCCACCCUGUUAAUAUAAUAGAGGACAGGAACUAUAUCAUCAUCUUCAUAGACAGAGAAAAGUAUUUGACAAUAUCUGACACCCAUUAGUGAUAAAAUCAUGUCUACACAAAGACAUGUGCUCAGAUGUUCACUGCAGCAUUUUGCAGGAAGGCCCCAGGGUGGAAACAAGCCAAAUGUCUACCAAUCAGUAAAGGGAUAAAGAAGUGGUAUAUCCGUACAGCCGAAUGUUACUGAGCCGUGACAAAGAACACACUACUGAUGCACGUUUGAGCCUCCAAGACAUUAUGCUAAUUGACAGAUGUCAGACACAGAAGACCACUUAUUGCACAAGUCAGUUUAUAGGAAAUGCCCAGAGAGGCAGCUCUAAAGAGAGAGAAAGGAGCUUGCUAGUUGCCUGGGUGGGCCUGGAGGUAAAGUAAUGGGGAUUGACUGCUGCUAGUGGGUACCAGCGAUCUUUCUGGGGUGAUGGAAGUAUUCUGAAACUGGAUAGUGGUGAGGGCUGCAAAACUGUGUAAAUUUACUAAAACUCACUGUGUUAUUCCCUUUAGGUACGUGAAGUUUGUGGCAAGCAAAUUAUACCUUAGUAAAGCCAUUUAAAAAAUGUAGUGCAAGUGUGACCGUAAGUCACGGAGGAAAGGGUAUGCAGUCAUUUUUUUCUACAACAGUAAGCAACAUCCCCUCUCUUUCCCUGUUCCGCGUCCUGCCUACAUGUCCUGCCUGGUCGCCUGGCUCCUCCACGUGCACUUGAUGCUCCAGCCAGAUAGACUGUGCACACCUGGGCAGAGGGAGUGCUGGUGAGUGCACAUGUCUACGUGUGUGUCUGUGUGCGGUGUGCACGCGUUCCUGCACAGGCACCCUGUGGGUGCAUGCACUAGUGACUGUCAAUCCUCUGUCUGUGGGCUGGCUCCCAUAAUCCAUGCUACGUCCUGAAUUCCACUGCCGGUUUUUCUGUUCACCAAUCUCAAGGACCUGGCUUCAGUUUCCCUGGUAACCAACCUCAGCCCUUAGCUUCAACCUCUGAGCACAGGAAGACAGCCAGAGUGGGGAGGGGUGUUGUCUCACCCACAGGGCCCCUGCCGGAGCUGAGCACCCCAAUGGGAUGAGUGGCAGCACGGUUACCAAGACAACAGAACUCUCGACCCCUUUCCACCUGCAAGGCUCUUCUCCCUCUCCUGGGCCUGCCGAGCAUCAGGUCGGAAAGUGCUGCAAAGAACAUGGGGAGUAUCUGG